Molecule: long non-coding RNA, 1584 nt
Organism: Lycium ferocissimum
Lineage: Eukaryota; Viridiplantae; Streptophyta; Magnoliopsida; Solanales; Solanaceae
Exons: 5
Source: RefSeq, a predicted model, not a curated record
ACUUUCUUCCUAAUCUAAUUUAUUCUAGAACAGUGAAGUCACAGUGGCGGUAAUUCCUGCCAACAUAUCGACAUAGUUGAUAGAGUACAUGCGCUUGGAGAUUCAUGUCAUUUCCCUGCUUCUUAUCGAUGAGUCCUACUUAUUAUCUUUUUUUCUUCUUUCUGGCCAUGCUUUCAGAAUAGCCUGAGAGAAAAGAAAGACUUUGGAGGUAUGUUCUCUUUUAUAUAAUGUUUUUGACUAUUAAUCUUCAUGAGCCUCUUUGCAGUUUGGACUUAUCCUCUCUUAGCUUAUGUACUUUUAGCAUUUGAUAUGCUUUCAACAUAGUCUUGAUAGUUGCUUUUUCCUGUAUAGAAGAUAGAAAGAAUAAACAAAUUAAGGAGAACAAUGAACAGGACAAUUCCAUUCAAAGAGAAUUAAAAGUAUUUUCUAUAGGUGAGGACAACAUAAUAUUGGCCUUUCCUCCAGCAGUAAUAUUGAGCAUUGGAACUCCAAAGCUCUAAUUCUAGUUAUUGGUAUUCCAUGAGUCCAUAUUAAAGGGUUAGUAAAUUGGGUCUGCAAGUAGCGGAGCAUUUUUUAUUCUGCAUGAACAGAUUACGAAUUUUAUAAUUGCAAUUUGAAAGGAAUAAAUUAUUCUGGCUGAAUGAAAAUUGAUACAAAAGCGUUAGUAGACCCUUUGUGAAAUCAACAAACUACAACAUACUCAAUAGAAAUCAUGUGUGGUUUACAUUGGGAUUGAACUGUAGGAUUAUCUAUUAGACUUUGUUCCUCGGAGCUAAGCAACAUUUCCUGUUAUGUAUAUAAUAGACAACUGUUAAUUUUUGCUACAUAGUGCAACACCUAAAGUAGAUAUGUAGUUAUUAUUUUGUGGCGAUGCAAUGACUAUAUUUUCUAAAUACCAAAGAUUAUUUAUAAUAAUACCAUUUUCAGUUCACAAUUGUUCGUCUGAUUAACACAUUCUCUUUUUGGCUCUUCAUUUGGUUCCGUGAAUUGGAGAACACUAUAGCAUGGGUCCAUUUUUGCUGAAGAAAAUUUUUUCUGUUAAAAGGAUUGUAGCUCCAUUGUAUCCAUUCAGUAACCAAUGUGGAAAACUGGUUGUUGUUUGCACUAAUGGAUGAAAUCGUCCCAAGUUAUUUUUUGAAUGAAGUUUACCUAUAUGUGAGUUAAAAUGUUCUAUACUAGCCUUGCUGCUCUGGACAACCAUAGUUUCAUUGGCAAUAAUAAAACUCGAAACAACUGCUUAGAACUCGAAACUAUUGCUUUAUGCAGCUAUGAGGAAUAUUCCCUUCAUGCAGGCAGUUUUUGAAGUAGGCUAAAGCUUAAGAUAUUAUCUUUCGGGAAACCUGCACUGCCCUUUCCGAAAGCUGACUUGAAGAAAAAAUAAGGAUAUAUGUGUCGCACGUGCUUUAAAAAGAUAUUUUGUCAACUACGACAACAGCAGAACUACAACGAGAACUGCUAAGAACAAGAUGAUUGUCAAUGCCAAUAUAUGCUUUGUCUAUGUAAACAGUACAAUGAUGGAUGUAUAUAAAUGUACGAUAUGAACAAUAUGCUUCAGCAAUGCAGUAUUUUCUUCACUUUAUAUUA